GACGAACGCUGGCGGCGUGCUUAACACAUGCAAGUCGAACGGAAGGGCGCGGCGUUUGUUUGGUGCUCGUUUGGCGAAGGGGGGAGUAACACGUGAGGAACCUCCCCUUGUCUUUGGGGUAACUUCACGAGACUCGGGCGAAUACCGGGUAGGAGCUCCUGCUGCGUGUUGUGGGUUGGUAAAAUUCGGCGGUGGGGGCUCGACUCGCUGGUUAUCAGCUUGUUUGUCUGGUAGUUGCUUACCAGGGUUUUGACGGGUAGCCGGCCUGGGAGGGGGACCAGCGACCUUGGGCCUGAGAUACGGACCAGACUCCUACCGGAGGCAGUAGUGGGGAACCUUGCACAAUGGGGCGAAGUCUGAUGUAGAAACGCCGCGUGCGGGAUGACGGCUUUCGAGUUGUAAACAGCUUUCGAAUGUGCCGAAGAGUUCGUGACGGUAAUGGGUCAGGAAGCCACGGCUAACUACGUG
This 468-nucleotide ribosomal RNA is filed under the name uncultured bacterium. RNAcentral describes it as "partial 16S ribosomal RNA". It matches the Rfam family "Bacterial small subunit ribosomal RNA", at positions 28 to 507 of the family's 1533-position model. The record is from RNAcentral.